This 256-nucleotide ribosomal RNA is filed under the name uncultured bacterium. Its description in RNAcentral is "partial 16S ribosomal RNA". It matches the Rfam family "Bacterial small subunit ribosomal RNA", at positions 524 to 777 of the family's 1533-position model. The record is from RNAcentral.
UACGUAGGGUGCGAGCGUUGUCCCGGAAUUAUUGGGCGUAAAGAGCUCGUAGGCGGUCUGUCGCGUCUGCUGUGAAAUCCCGAGGCUCAACCUCGGGCCUGCAGUGGGUACGGGCAGACUAGAGUGCGGUAGGGGGAGAUUGGAAUUCCUGGUGUAGCGGUGGAAUGCGCAGAUAUCAGGAGGAACACCAAUGGCGAAGGCAGAUCUCUGGGCCGUAACUGACGCUGAGGAGCGAAAGCAUGGGGAGCGAACAGGG